Molecule: ribosomal RNA, 305 nt
Filed under: uncultured bacterium
Lineage: Bacteria
Description: bacterial SSU rRNA
Rfam family: Bacterial small subunit ribosomal RNA
Source: RNAcentral
UCCUACGGGGGGCAGCAGUGAGGAAUAUUGGUCAAUGGUCGGGAGCCUGAACCAGCCAAGCCGCGUGAGGGAGGAAGGUACAGAGUAUUGUAAACCUCUUUUGUCAGGGAACAAAAACUGGGACGUGUCCCCGGAUGAGUGUACCCGAAGAAAAAGCAUCGGCUAACUCCGUGCCAGCAGCCGCGGUAAUACGGAGGAUGCGAGCGUUAUCCGGAUUUAUUGGGUUUAAAGGGUGCGUAGGCGGUCUGUUAAGUCAGCGGUCAAAGUCCGGGGCUCAACCCCGGCCAGCCGUUGAAACUGGCAGG